RNAcentral lists this ribosomal RNA (481 nucleotides) under uncultured ciliate. RNAcentral's name for it is "SSU rRNA". It matches the Rfam family "Eukaryotic small subunit ribosomal RNA", at positions 488 to 985 of the family's 1831-position model. Lineage: Eukaryota; Ciliophora. The record is from RNAcentral.
GGAUGAAUUUUCAUCACAGUAUUGCAAUGAGAACAAUGUAAAUGCUUUAUCGAUUAACAAUUGGAGGGCAAGUCUGGUGCCAGCAGCCGCGGUAAUUCCAGCUCCAAUAGCGUAUAUUAAAGUUGUUGCAGUUAAAAAGCUCGUAGUUGAACUUCUGUACAUUCCCAGUUCUGGCUUCGGUCAAGCUGUGGAGUGUGCAUCCGCUUGCAAACUUAGACCGGCCUUCACUGGUCGACUAAGGGAGUAAGCCCUUUACUUUGAAAAAAUUAGAGUGUUUCAGGCAGGCAAUGGCUCGAAUACAUUAGCAUGGAAUAAUGGAAUAGGACUUUUGUCCAUUUGGUUGGUUAUUGGACAUAAGUAAUGAUUAAAAGGGACAGUUGGGGGCAUUAGUACUUAAUUGUCAGAGGUGAAAUUCUUGGAUUUAUUAAAGACUAACUUAUGCGAAAGCAUUUGCCAAGGAUGUUUUCAUUAAUCAAGAACG